Molecule: small nuclear RNA, 106 nt
Filed under: Castor canadensis (American beaver)
Lineage: Eukaryota; Metazoa; Chordata; Mammalia; Rodentia; Castoridae
Source: RNAcentral
GUAUUCAUUCAGGCAGCACAUAUAAUAAAAUUGAAUGACAAAGAGAAGAUUGGCAUGGUUCGUGGGUAAUAAUGACACACAAAUUUGUGAUGUGGUCCAUAUUUAA